This 1058-nucleotide ribosomal RNA is filed under the name Narceus americanus. RNAcentral's name for it is "partial 16S large subunit ribosomal RNA". The stretch from base 500 to 1058 matches the Rfam family "Archaeal large subunit ribosomal RNA", at positions 1423 to 2614 of the family's 2987-position model. The record is from RNAcentral. Lineage: Eukaryota; Metazoa; Arthropoda; Diplopoda; Spirobolida; Spirobolidae.
GAAAGUUAUUUAUAAUGUAUAAUAUAAGUUAUUUAAUGUGAGUAGACUAGUUUGAAGUAUAAUAAUUAUAAAAAGUACUGUAAGGGAGGCUUAAUUAAAAGAAAGAUUUUAUUAUUAAAUUACCUUUUGUAUUAGGGACAUUUAAAAUAAGAGUUUAGGUAGACUAUCCCGAAUUAUUUGUGGGCUAACUAAGGUUUUAAUUAUUGUUACAUAAAUGUGAAUAACUGUUAGUUAGGGAUGAAAUAUUAGUCAAACGGUAGGAUAUCUGGUUUUCUUAUAAGUAAAUUGAAUUUAUAGAAUUAUUAAUUCUUAAAGUAUUGUUAGGUUUAGCUAAUAGUAAGCCAAUAUUGGAAUAAGAGAUUUUCUUGGGUAGAUUUAAUAAUGAUUGUUCAUUAAAUUUUGUUAUUAUUUAGGUGAAAAAGUAGACUAUUAAGCUAAUAUUUGGGGGGUAUAAGAAUAUGAGGUAGAAUAAAUUAGUUAUAGAAAUAUUGAGUGUAUUAGUAGCUUAUGCUGUAUUUAUUUUAAUGAACAUUUGAGGAGAAUUAAAGUAAAAUUAGGUAUUGUUAAGGAACUCGGCAAGGUGAUCCUGCCUGUUUAAUAAAAACAUGGUUCUUCGGGUUUUAAUGAAGAAUCUGGCCUGCCCGCUGAAAUAAGUUGAAGGGCUGCAGUAUUUUGACUGUACAAAGGUAGCAUAGUCAUUAGUCUUUUGAUUGAGGACUGGAAUGAAUGGUUUGACAGGGUCACACUGUCUCAACAAUAUGAAGUUAAUUUUACAUCUUUGUGAAAAGGCAAGGAUGAGCUAUAGGGACGAGAAGACCCUAUAAAACUUGAUUUUAAUAGAUAUAUUAUUUGGAGGAUAAAUUUAAUAUGUUCGUUAAGGGUUUGCUGGGGCGGUAUUUAUUUUACAUAAAUUUAAUGAAAUGAUGAUGGUUAGCUUAGGGAUUGAUCCGGCAUUGGGCCGAUAAAAAGAAGAAGUUACUUUAGGGAUAACAGCGUAAUGGUUUUUGAGAGUUCUUAUUGACGAAAUUGUUUGCGACCUCGAUGUUGGAUUAAGGAAU